UAGCUAGUUGGUGAGGUAAAGGCUUACCAAGGCGACGAUCUGUAGCGGGUCUGAGAGGAUGAUCCGCCACACUGGAACUGAGACACGGUCCAGACUCCUACGGGAGGCAGCAGUGGGGAAUUUUGGACAAUGGGGGCAACCCUGAUCCAGCCAUGCCGCGUGAGUGAAGAAGGCCUUCGGGUUGUAAAGCUCUUUCGGCCGGGAAGAAAUCGCAUGGGCCAAUACCCUGUGUGGAUGACGGUACCGGAAUAAGAAGCACCGGCUAACUACGUGCCAGCAGCCGCGGUAAUACGUAGGGUGCGAGCGUUAAUCGGAAUUACUGGGCGUAAAGCGUGCGCAGGCGGUUUUGUAAGACAGGCGUGAAAUCCCCGGGCUUAACCUGGGAACUGCGUUUGUGACUGCAAGGCUAGAGUACGGCAGAGGGGGAUGGAAUUCCACGUGUAGCAGUGAAAUGCGUAGAGAUGUGGAGGAACACCAAUGGCGAAGGCAGCCCCCUGGGUCGAUACUGACGCUCAUGCACGAAAGCGUGGGUAGCAAACAGGAUUAGAUACCCUGGUAGUCCACGCCCUAAACUAUGUCAACUAGGUGUUGGGUGGGUAAAACCAUUUAGUACCGUAGCUAACGCGUGAAGUUGACCGCCUGGGGAGUACGGCCGCAAGGUUAAAACUCAAAGGAAUUGACGGGGACCCGCACAAGCGGUGGAUGAUGUGGAUUAAUUCGAUGCAACGCGAAAAACCUUACCUACCCUUGACAUGCCAGGAACUUGCCAGAGAUGGCUUGGUGCCCGAAAGGGAGCCUGGACACAGGUGCUGCAUGGCUGUCGUCAGCUCGUGUCGUGAGAUGUUGGGUUAAGUCCCGCAACGAGCGCAACCCUUGUCGUUAAUUGCCAUCAUUUAGUUGGGCACUUUAACGAGACUGCCGGUGACAAACCGGAGGAAGGUGGGGAUGACGUCAAGUCCUCAUGGCCCUUAUGGGUAGGGCUUCACACGUCAUACAAUGGUCGGUACAAAGGGUUGCCAAGCCGCGAGGCGGAGCCAAUCCCAGAAAGCCGAUCGUAGUCCGGAUUGCAGGCUGCAACUCGCCUGCAUGAAGUCGGAAUCGCUAGUAAUCGUGGAUCAGCAUGUCACGGUGAAUACGUUCCCGGGUCUUGUACACACCGCCCGUCGCACCAUGGGAGCGGGUUCCGCCAGAAGUAGGUAGCCUAACCGCAAGGGGGGCGCUUACCACGGCGGGGUUCGUGACUGGGGUGAAGUCGGAACAAGGUAGCCGUAGGGGAACCUGCGGCCG
RNAcentral lists this ribosomal RNA (1287 nucleotides) under metagenome. RNAcentral describes it as "bacterial SSU rRNA". It matches the Rfam family "Bacterial small subunit ribosomal RNA", at positions 242 to 1520 of the family's 1533-position model. The record is from RNAcentral.